RNAcentral lists this ribosomal RNA (506 nucleotides) under uncultured bacterium. Its description in RNAcentral is "partial 16S ribosomal RNA". It matches the Rfam family "Bacterial small subunit ribosomal RNA", at positions 29 to 523 of the family's 1533-position model. The record is from RNAcentral.
AGUGAACGCUGGCGGUAGGCCUAACACAUGCAAGUCGAACGGCAGCACAAGAGAGCUUGCUCUCUGGGUGGCGAGUGGCGGACGGGUGAGGAAUACAUCGGAAUCUACUCUGUCGUGGGGGAUAACGUAGGGAAACUUACGCUAAUACCGCAUACGACCUACGGGUGAAAGCAGGGGACCUUCGGGCCUUGCGCGAUUGAAUGAGCCGAUGUCGGAUUAGCUAGUUGGCGGGGUAAAGGCCCACCAAGGCGACGAUCCGUAGCUGGUCUGAGAGGAGGCUCAGCCACACUGGAACUGAGACGCGGUCCAGACUCCUACGGGAGGCAGCAGUGGGGAAUAUUGGACAAUGGGCGCAAGCCUGAUCCAGCCAUACCGCGUGGGUGAAGAAGGCCUUCGGGUUGUAAAGCCCUUUUGUUGGGAAAGAAAUCCAGCUGGCUAAUACCCGGUUGGGAUGACGGUACCCAAAGAAUAAGCACCGGCUAACUUCGUGCCAGCCGCCGCCGUAA